Molecule: unclassified non-coding RNA, 215 nt
Filed under: Microdochium bolleyi
Lineage: Eukaryota; Fungi; Ascomycota; Sordariomycetes; Xylariales; Microdochiaceae
Also listed under: 2 other names
Description: partial internal transcribed spacer region
Rfam family: Eukaryotic small subunit ribosomal RNA (bases 1-46)
Source: RNAcentral
AAGUCGUAACAAGGUCUCCGUAGGUGAACCUGCGGAGGGAUCAUUACUGAGUUUUUAACUCUCCAAACCAUGUGAACUUACCACUGUUGCCUCGGUGGCUGGUGCUGGAAACAGUGCUGCCACCGGUGGACUACUAAACUCUUGUUAAUUUUUGUCAAAUCUGAAUCAAACUAAGAAAUAAGUUAAAACUUUCAACAACGGAUCUCUUGGUUCUG